AUCUCAAAACGGCCCUGCAAAGAAAAAAGUCAAAAAAUAAAUAAAUAAACCCCCCUGAAAGACAUACAGGUUCCAAACAAUCAAACAUAAUUGAUAACAAUUAGCUAGUGUCUAGUUUCAUUCCAAUCACGGUGAUAAAAUUAUAGGCACCUUGAUGGGACAGACCCAUUGAUUAGUGUGAAAACCUCUCUUUCACAUGCACAUGCAGGCAUGCAAACGCAAUUCAAACAUUGAUCCAUUCGCAUUUCAAACAAACACAAAUAUCAACAAACAUACAUUUACUGAAGGCAUGAAGAUGUCGUGUACAGUGAGCAGUGGCAAAAUAAAAGCACAGUAAUACAUGCCUUGGAACAUUUUGCUUAUAGCCAAAAGCCACCACGUAGUGGCAGAUGCAUACAUCUGAUAUGGUCAUACCCUGCAGUUCUCUCUUCUUCUUUUUUU
This 441-nucleotide unclassified non-coding RNA is filed under the name Hevea brasiliensis (rubber tree). Lineage: Eukaryota; Viridiplantae; Streptophyta; Magnoliopsida; Malpighiales; Euphorbiaceae. The record is from RNAcentral.